RNAcentral lists this ribosomal RNA (451 nucleotides) under uncultured bacterium. RNAcentral describes it as "bacterial SSU rRNA". It matches the Rfam family "Bacterial small subunit ribosomal RNA", at positions 329 to 794 of the family's 1533-position model. The record is from RNAcentral.
CGCCAGACUCCUACGGGAGGCAGCAGUGGGGAAUAUUGGGCAAUGGGCGCAAGCCUGACCCAGCAACGCCGCGUGAAGGAAGAAGGCUUUCGGGUUGUAAACUUCUUUUCUCAGGGACGAAGAAAGUGACGGUACCUGAGGAAUAAGCCACGGCUAACUACGUGCCAGCAGCCGCGGUAAUACGUAGGGGGCAAGCGUUAUCCGGAUUCACUGGGUGUAAAGGGAGCGUAGACGGCGACGCAAGUCUGGAGUGAAAGCCCGGGGCCCAACCCCGGGACUGCUCUGGAAACUGCGUCACUGGAGUACGGGAGGGGCAGGCGGAAUUCCUAGUGUAGCGGUGAAAUGCGUAGAUAUUAGGAGGAACACCAGUGGCGAAGGCGGCUUGCUGGACAGUAACUGACGUUGAGGCUCGAAAGCGUGGGGAGCAAACAGGAUUAGAUACCCGCGUAAU